ACCUGGCUGGCUCAGUCGGUGGAGCAUGUGACUCUUGAUCUCAGGUUGUGAGUUUGAGCCCCAUGUUGGGUG
RNAcentral lists this transfer RNA (72 nucleotides) under Felis catus (domestic cat). It matches the Rfam family "tRNA". Rfam says of the family: Transfer RNA (tRNA) molecules are approximately 80 nucleotides in length. Their secondary structure includes four short double-helical elements and three loops (D, anti-codon, and T loops). RNAcentral also lists the same sequence under 2 other names. Lineage: Eukaryota; Metazoa; Chordata; Mammalia; Carnivora; Felidae. The record is from Rfam by way of RNAcentral.